RNAcentral lists this ribosomal RNA (450 nucleotides) under uncultured bacterium. Its description in RNAcentral is "partial 16S ribosomal RNA". It matches the Rfam family "Bacterial small subunit ribosomal RNA", at positions 354 to 796 of the family's 1533-position model. The record is from RNAcentral.
GUGGGGAAUUUUGGACAAUGGGGGCAACCCUGAUCCAGCCAUGCCGCGUGCGGGAAGAAGGCCUUCGGGUUGUAAACCGCUUUUGUCAGGGAAGAAAUCCUUUGGGUUAAUACCUCGGAGGGAUGACGGUACCUGAAGAAUAAGCACCGGCUAACUACGUGCCAGCAGCCGCGGUAAUACGUAGGGUGCGAGCGGUAAUCGGAAUUACUGGGCGUAAAGCGUGCGCAGGCGGUGUUGUAAGAUCGAUGUGAAAUCCCCGGGCUCAACCUGGGAACUGCAUUGGUGACUGCAAGGCUAGAGUGCGGCAGAGGGGGAUGGAAUUCCGCGUGUAGCAGUGAAAUGCGUAGAGAUCUGGAGGAAUACCGAUGGCGAAGGCAGCCAUCUGGCCUAAUACUGACACUGAGGUGCGAAAGCAUGGGGAGCAAACAGGAUUAGAUACCCCGGUAGUCC